CCUUGAAAUACCACCCUUUAAUGUUUGAUGUUCUAACGUUGACCCGUGAUCCGGGUUGCGGACAGUGUCUGGUGGGUAGUUUGACUGGGGCGGUCUCCUCCUAAAGAGUAACGGAGGAGCACGAAGGUUGGCUAAUCCUGGUCGGACAUCAGGAGGUUAGUGCAAUGGCAUAAGCCAGCUUGACUGCGAGCGUGACGGCGCGAGCAGGUGCGAAAGCAGGUCAUAGUGAUCCGGUGGUUCUGAAUGGAAGGGCCAUCGCUCAACGGAUAAAAGGUACUCCGGGGAUAACAGGCUGAUACCGCCCAAGAGUUCAUAUCGACGGCGGUGUUUGGCACCUCGAUGUCGGCUCAUCACAUCCUGGGGCUGAAGUAGGUCCCAAGGGUAUGGCUGUUCGCCAUUUAAAGUGGUACGCGAGCUGGGUUUAGAACGUCGUGAGACAGUUCGGUCCCUAUCUGCCGUGGGCGCUGGAGAACUGAGGGGGGCUGCUCCU
Molecule: ribosomal RNA, 490 nt
Filed under: Escherichia coli
Lineage: Bacteria; Pseudomonadati; Pseudomonadota; Gammaproteobacteria; Enterobacterales; Enterobacteriaceae
Description: partial 23S ribosomal RNA
Rfam family: Bacterial large subunit ribosomal RNA
Source: RNAcentral